GUCGAACGAACUCUGGUAUUGAUUGGUGCUUGCAUCAUGAUUUACAUUUGAGUGAGUGGCGAACUGGUGAGUAACACGUGGGAAACCUGCCCAGAAGCGGGGGAUAACACCUGGAAACAGAUGCUAAUACCGCAUAACAACUUGGACCGCAUGGUCCGAGUUUGAAAGAUGGCUUCGGCUAUCACUUUUGGAUGGUCCCGCGGCGUAUUAGCUAGAUGGUGGGGUAACGGCUCACCAUGGCAAUGAUACGUAGCCGACCUGAGAGGGUAAUCGGCCACAUUGGGACUGAGACACGGCCCAAACUCCUACGGGAGGCAGCAGUAGGGAAUCUUCCACAAUGGACGAAAGUCUGAUGGAGCAACGCCGCGUGAGUGAAGAAGGGUUUCGGCUCGUAAAACUCUGUUGUUAAAGAAGAACAUAUCUGAGAGUAACUGUUCAGGUAUUGACGGUAUUUAACCAGAAAGCCACGGCUAACUACGUGCCAGCAGCCGCGGUAAUACGUAGGUGGCAAGCGUUGUCCGGAUUUAUUGGGCGUAAAGCGAGCGCAGGCGGUUUUUUAAGUCUGAUGUGAAAGCCUUCGGCUCAACCGAAGAAGUGCAUCGGAAACUGGGAAACUUGAGUGCAGAAGAGGACAGUGGAACUCCAUGUGUAGCGGUGAAAUGCGUAGAUAUAUGGAAGAACACCAGUGGCGAAGGCGGCUGUCUGGUCUGUAACUGACGCUGAGGCUCGAAAGUAUGGGUAGCAAACAGGAUUAGAUACCCUGGUAGUCCAUACCGUAAACGAUGAAUGCUAAGUGUUGGAGGGUUUCCGCCCUUCAGUGCUGCAGCUAACGCAUUAAGCAUUCCGCCUGGGGAGUACGGCCGCAAGGCUGAAACUCAAAGGAAUUGACGGGGGCCCGCACAAGCGGUGGAGCAUGUGGUUUAAUUCGAAGCUACGCGAAGAACCUUACCAGGUCUUGACAUACUAUGCAAAUCUAAGAGAUUAGACGUUCCCUUCGGGGACAUGGAUACAGGUGGUGCAUGGUUGUCGUCAGCUCGUGUCGUGAGAUGUUGGGUUAAGUCCCGCAACGAGCGCAACCCUUAUUAUCAGUUGCCAGCAUUAAGUUGGGCACUCUGGUGAGACUGCCGGUGACAAACCGGAGGAAGGUGGGGAUGACGUCAAAUCAUCAUGCCGCUUAUGACCUGGGCUACACACGUGCUACAAU
This 1204-nucleotide ribosomal RNA is filed under the name Lactobacillus acidophilus. RNAcentral's name for it is "bacterial SSU rRNA". It matches the Rfam family "Bacterial small subunit ribosomal RNA", at positions 61 to 1231 of the family's 1533-position model. The record is from RNAcentral. Lineage: Bacteria; Bacillati; Bacillota; Bacilli; Lactobacillales; Lactobacillaceae.